GACGAACGCUGGCGGCGUGCUUAACACAUGCAAGUCGAACGAUGAAGCCUAGCUUGCUCGGCGGUUUAGUGGCGAACGGGUGAGUAAUACGCGCGUAACUUACCUUUAACUAUGGGAUAAGUCAGGUAAACUGGGCCUAAUACAGGCUACGACCUAUCUUCGCCCGGGGUGUUGGUGGAAGACGUACGGUCGUGGUUAUAGCUGGGCUCACGGCCUAUCUGCUUUAUGUAGAAGUAACGGCACCCGAAGGCGAAGGCGGGUAGGCGACCCUGGAGGGGGACCGCGCACACGGGUACUGAGAGACGGCGCAGACUCCAACGGGAGGCAACGGUCGGGAAUAUUGCGGAAUGGGCGCGAGCCUGAUGCGGCGGCGCCGCGUGAGGAAUGACGGCCUUCUGGUUAUAAACCUCUGUUUGCAGAGAAGAAGACAGAUUGACGGUACCUGCAGAGAAAGCGCCGGCUAACUACGUG
Molecule: ribosomal RNA, 471 nt
Filed under: uncultured bacterium
Lineage: Bacteria
Description: partial 16S ribosomal RNA
Rfam family: Bacterial small subunit ribosomal RNA
Source: RNAcentral